CCGGCUUCAUCGCCGCCUGCGGCCCAGCGUCGCACUCCUCCUGCGCGAGGGCGGCCAAGGCCUGGCCAGGAGCCGCGCCUCCGCCCGCGCGAGCUAGGGCUCGAGGACCGGCGCGGCGCAGGUCUCCGGAAGCCUCCCGAGAGGGGCGAGGGCGCCGGGCCGCGCGUGGGGGCAGGUAUCGUCCUUGGAGAAGAUGGAAGCGGAGAGGCGGCCGGCGCCGGCCUCGCCCUCCGAGGGCCUGUUUGCGGACGGGCACCUGAUCUUGUGGACGCUGUGCUCGGUCUUGCUGCCGGUGUUCAUCACCUUCUGGUGUAGCCUCCAGCGGUCGCGCCGGCUGCUGCACCGCAGAGACAUCUUCCGCAAGAGCAAGCACGGGUGGCGCGACACGGACCUGUUCAGUCAGCCCACCUACUGCUGCGUGUGCGCGCAGCACAUUCUGCAGGGCGCUUUCUGCGACUGCUGCGGGCUCCGGGUGGACGAGGGCUGCCUCAAGAAGGCCGACAGGCGCUUCCAGUGCAAGGAGAUUAUGCUCAAGAAUGACGCCAAGGUCCUGGACGCCAUGCCCCACCACUGGAUCAGGGGCAACGUGCCCCUGUGCAGUUACUGUAUGGUUUGCAAGCAGCAGUGUGGCUGUCAACCCAAGCUUUGCGAUUACAGGUGCAUUUGGUGCCAGAAAACAGUACAUGAUGAGUGCAUGAGAAAUAGUUUAAAGAAUGAAAAGUGUGAUUUUGGAGAAUUCAAAAACCUAAUCAUUCCACCAAGUUAUUUAACCUCCAUUAAUCAGAUGCGUAAAGACAAAAAAACAGAUUAUGAAGUGCUAGCCUCUAAGCUUGGAAAGCAAUGGACGCCGUUAAUAAUCCUGGCCAACUCUCGUAGUGGAACUAAUAUGGGAGAAGGACUGUUGGGAGAAUUUAGGAUCUUGUUGAAUCCAGUCCAGGUUUUUGAUGUAACUAAAACUCCUCCUAUCAAAGCCCUACAACUCUGUACUCUUCUUCCAUAUUAUUCAGCUCGAGUACUUGUUUGUGGAGGGGAUGGGACUGUAGGGUGGGUCCUGGAUGCAGUUGAUGACAUGAAAAUUAAGGGACAAGAAAAGUACAUUCCACAAGUUGCAGUCUUGCCUCUGGGAACAGGCAACGAUCUAUCCAAUACGUUGGGUUGGGGUACAGGUUAUGCUGGAGAAAUUCCAGUUGCACAGGUUUUGCGAAAUGUAAUGGAAGCAGAUGGAAUUAAACUAGAUCGAUGGAAAGUUCAAGUAACAAAUAAAGGAUACUACAACUUAAGAAAACCCAAGGAAUUCACAAUGAACAACUAUUUUUCUGUUGGACCUGAUGCUCUCAUGGCUCUCAAUUUUCAUGCUCAUCGUGAGAAGGCACCAUCUCUGUUUUCUAGCAGAAUUCUUAAUAAGGCGGUUUACUUAUUCUAUGGAACCAAAGAUUGUUUAGUGCAAGAAUGUAAAGAUUUGAAUAAAAAAGUUGAGCUAGAACUGGAUGGUGAGCGAGUAGCACUGCCCAGCUUGGAAGGUAUUAUAGUUCUGAACAUUGGUUACUGGGGCGGUGGCUGCAGACUAUGGGAAGGGAUGGGAGACGAGACUUACCCUCUAGCCAGGCAUGACGAUGGUUUACUGGAAGUCGUUGGAGUAUAUGGGUCUUUCCACUGUGCUCAGAUUCAAGUAAAACUGGCGAAUCCUUUUCGAAUAGGACAGGCACAUACAGUGAGGCUGAUUUUGAAGUGCUCCAUGAUGCCAAUGCAGGUGGAUGGGGAGCCUUGGGCCCAAGGGCCCUGCACUGUCACCAUAACUCACAAGACACAUGCAAUGAUGUUAUAUUUCUCUGGAGAACAAACAGAUGAUGACAUCUCUAGUACUUCGGAUCAAGAAGAUAUAAAGGAGACUGAAUAGAUGGAUGAGGGAGUGAAAACUUUGCAUAGAAUCCUCACGCAAGUAGAUGUAUGUUCAUCCAAAAGUAUUAAUAGAAAUUCUCUAUCAGCUAUUCAGUCUUAAUUUCACUAGUAAUAUUAUGGGUAUACAUUUUUGUAAAUAGCAUCCAAAAACCAGCCAGCCUUCAGUUAUUUACAAACGUUUGUUCUUUUUUCAGCAAAAUACUUCAAAUGAAUAGUAUUAACUUACGAAAAGUCACAAAAACUUACAUGACAAUGAAAAUUUGUUAUUGUUUUGAGAGUGGGACUCGCUCUGAAGUAUGUGCUGUCUCAUUUCUAAUUUUUGAACCAUGCAUAUGAUGGAUGCAUAAUGGGUGGAUACAUUAUAUCUCCAACAAGGUGUGGGUGGAAAUAUCAUUUCCAUCUUCAUUUUUAAUAUGGUGACACCAUAGCAUUUUAAAAAUUAACCUGCUUUUUUGAAAGGAAAUGAUUACUGUCAAACCACCAUGGUUAAUUGUGGGCAUCCUCCUGCAGCAUGCCUCUUAAAAUUUUCUGCAACCCAAACCAAGUGUAUGUAUUGAUUUCUAGGAACCCCCAAAAGGAGAAUAGUAAAAAAAGAUCAUACUUAAAACUUAUAUUAUAAUUUUUAUUUUAGGAACUUAUUCAGACACGUAAAUGUUGUUUAAUUCUGUAGGUAACCAUUUUAGCUGAAAUUCAGGAUCUUUUUUAUGACACCAGUGUAGCCAAAAGAGAAGCAGAUAAGUGAAUUGGUAAGAAAUAAGAUUCAGAGCACUUUGGAUUAUAAGUUGUAGGUUCUGAGCUGAACAGUUUAUCAACCUCUUUUUAUUAAAAGACAGUGUCAACACUUCAAAAAUUGUGCUUAAAGGAAGCUUAAUGGUGAGAUUAAUUGCUUAGGAAAAGCUCAAGGCUGACUGAUGAGUUUUAAAACUUUAGUGGUCUAGUAGCAUUUUGAAAUACAGUAGUCUUUUAACAGAAUUUCCCCUUAGGGAGGUAAGUGGACAGAAAUCUUUGCUAAAAUGUUUAUAUCAUAUUUAUUUUAAAAUAAGAGAGAUAUAUUUUUAAAUUAUUUAUUAUUUACCUUGUGGUAUGAUACCUGUGUUUAGUGUUUACGUUCUGUAGCUUUAUUUAAUAAGUUAAAUUGAUCACAUAAAUUCUGCUAGUCACAAUCAGAUAGAAAUUUAGUCUAUUAAGUAAUUAAAAUUCUAAUUUAAUUCUCCUGACAGAUAUCUAGACAUUCUUAUUCUUCACAAAUAUUCCUCAUUGUAUUGAAAAAAGAAGGAGGGCAUGAAAAGCACUAGGGAACUACUUUUGGAUAACUGAAAGCUUUGUUUCAUUGUUUUGUUUGCCCCUCAAUUGCCACAAACUUACUGAAGGGCCAGUUUCAUGGUUCCCGUUAGAGGGUGCUUGUUCUCUGCUGUUGACCAGCCCAUCCCUUCAUGACCCACAGCCUUUCUCCUGUUCCUCAGAGUAUGCUCUGCACGCUAUCUGCGGCAUCAGAAUGCCUGGGCAGGCUGUUGAAAAUAUGGAUUCCUGAGCCCAACCUUUAACUUAAUGAUUCCCUGUCUCUGGAGACGCAACAUAGAAAUCUGUUUUUAUUAACAAGCACCUCAGGUGAUUCUUAAGCAUACUGAAAUUUGAAAGCUUCUGGUCUGAACCUCUUGUAUUCACCUAGGGCUUUUGCUAGGUGGGAUACCAUGCUGAAAAAUUGAAUUAAUUGUAUGUUCUUAAAAUUGUUUUUCUUCUACUUCACUGUCCUCUUCCCUCAAAAUCACUUUCUAAAAGAACUCUAUGAAAAACUUGUUUGUAUUGCACCCAGAUUGAUAUAUUUGUCUGAACUCUGUUACAUAAAAAUUGGUAUGAUUCAUAUGUGGAGUCAGUUUUUGGACUGUGACCCAUGCAGUGUCGGGGGACAAGGAGUUGCUUCAGGAGUUAGUUAUAGUGAGGCUCCUGCCUUCUCACUUCAAUCAAUGCAGCCACACUUGUGUAUACUGAGUGCUGCUUCAGAUCUCAAUAGAUAAAAUACUUCCACAUUUAAAACGAUUCUACUAUUUUUUAUAAAGGGUUUGAAAGCCACUACUAUAAUGACUUUGUCACCUAAUUGAUUUUCUACUAAUUUUUACAUAUUCAGAAACUUCAUGUGUUUUUGGUGGACAGAAUAUUUUGGAGGUCUCUGUUGCUGCUUAGAAUGUGGCCACUUGGCUAUUUCACAGUUUUUAAAGCUAUUUUAUUGAAUAGUAAAGCAGUGAACUUAGCCUUCGUUCCUCAUGUUUCUAAUUUAAAUAUAUAGUCUGUAUUUAAUUUUAGAUACGUAAAUACACAUCAGUACAUACAUAUUUACCCAUAUGGCCCUGUGUAACCAGUGCAUGAGGUUUGCAUAGCCUAGCCCAAAAAGGUAUAUUCCAGCAUUCUGGGGAAAGAAUUUUAAAAUGCCAUCCUCUAAUACAGACGUUUAUAAAACUUAAAUGAAAUGAUUGAGCUUAACCAUCUACAAGAAUGUCUGCAGAAAAUAAAUCACCUAGAAACUAUAAAUAGAAAUGUGUUGCUGAGGCUGGGCGCAGUGGCUUACCCCUGUAAUCCCAGCACUUGGGGAGGCCAAAGCAGGUGUAUCACCUGAGGUCAGGAGUUCGAGACCAGCCUGGCCAACAUGGUGAAACCCCAUCUGUACUAAAAAUACAAAAAAAAAAUUAGCCAGGCACAGUGGCACAUGCCUUUAGUCCCAGCUAAACAGGAGGCUGAGGCACAAGAAUCGCCGGAACCCAGGCGGCGGAGCUUGCAGUGAACCAUGAUCACGCCACUGCACUCCAGCCUGGGCAACAGAGCAAGACUCCGUCUCAAUAAAAAAAAAAAAUUGUGUUGCUGGUAUCAGAUGUCAGACCAAGAACACUUCAGUCUCUCUAAGAAUGCCCUCAGCUACCUCACUAUUAAAGGACGACAUCAACACAGAAUGCACUAAACAGGAAAUAAGCUGUAAUCGAGGGAAUUUCCAUUAUGUGUUACUUUUUGGUGACUAACGUGGAAUGUUGAAAAGGAAGAGCCGGAAAGCUCAGUUGUUUUCUUUAUUCCUCUGACAUUGUCCAGGCAAGGGAGCAUCCUGAUCAGAUGAGUAGAUUUGGCUGAGAAAAACCCUAGAGUAAGGCAGGCACAUUGUGGAGUUGGAUGAUCCAAGAUGGCUCAUAAAAACGUUUGUUCUCAAUCCAAUUUAGGGCUCUGCCAGCAGUUCAGAUUUGAACUGCUUAAACGAACCCUACAGAUAAAUUGGCACUCUCAUUUGUAAUCCUGUCUGUACAAGUUUAGAGCAGCCUAGCUCGAGUUCUCAACCCCAGUCCUCUUAGAAGUGAACUGAUUGCACUGGAUCCCUAAACCCACAAUGUUGAGGACACGUGUGAUGACUCCACUUGCGCAGCCAGCUGGCCUCUUGCACUUUCCCCUGCCCACCACAGUCCUAUGUACCUAACCACUUAAUUAACCCUGUGUUAAUUGCUUUUGUUUUGUUGGGUCUGUAUUUUUGUGCAGUGCCUGCAGGCAGAAAUGUGAAUUAAAGCAUUUGAUAUGUUGAAGAUACCUGCUUGUUUUUUAAUAAAAUUAAAAGUGUAGCAC
Chlorocebus sabaeus (green monkey) is the source of this 5493-nucleotide RNA transcript. It is a transcript of the gene named diacylglycerol kinase epsilon, with no coding region annotated. The record is from RefSeq and is a predicted model, not a curated record. Lineage: Eukaryota; Metazoa; Chordata; Mammalia; Primates; Cercopithecidae.